Molecule: long non-coding RNA, 514 nt
Filed under: Brachypodium distachyon (stiff brome)
Lineage: Eukaryota; Viridiplantae; Streptophyta; Magnoliopsida; Poales; Poaceae
Description: long non-coding RNA (BDIS_LNC001664)
Source: RNAcentral
GUCCAAGUCUCGUGGGGAGCCACCGACGCACACGAGCCGAUGGAGGCGGCACUCGGGGGCGCGACGAAGCCAUGGGUCCGCAGCCACCUUCCGCACACGGACGCCGCCAACGCGCACGAGCUGGUGGAGGCGACCAAGAGCGGCGGCGGGCGCUGGCAAGAUCCGGAUCGGGUGGGGGUAAGAUUCGUAGGAUAGGAGGAGCGAGGAGGGCUCUGUUGUUGUUUUUUUUUCUUUUUUGGGCGGUACGUGUUUUUUCUGCGCUUGAGGACCACGGGACCCGGGAUUAAAAGGCGCGUGGGGACAGCGGUGUUAGAUUUGUAAUUUCAGUGAAGUGGCGUACCGCGACGACCGUACCAUCACCACCAACUCCAAUUUAAUAUAUUGGUAUAGAUAUAUUACUUUGUAUUUAAAAAAAAAUCCAAAAAUAAGAUAUUCCUGCUCAAAAUAAUAAUACAAAUCCACGUCACUUAUUUCGGGACGGAGGGAGUACUUUAUUGAAGUAACGAAAGAUACA